This 320-nucleotide unclassified non-coding RNA is filed under the name uncultured fungus. RNAcentral's name for it is "partial contains small subunit ribosomal RNA, internal transcribed spacer 1, and 5.8S ribosomal RNA". The stretch from base 1 to 73 matches the Rfam family "Eukaryotic small subunit ribosomal RNA", at positions 1759 to 1831 of the family's 1831-position model. Lineage: Eukaryota; Fungi. The record is from RNAcentral.
UCAAACUUGGUCAUUUAGAGGAAGUAAAAGUCGUAACAAGGUUUCCGUAGGUGAACCUGCGGAAGGAUCAUUCAUGUAAAGAUGAGUAGGUUGUUGCUGGGCUCUUGAGUCAUGUGCACGCCUCUCGACUUCACAUCCAACCCCUGUGCACUUUUGUUAGAUCAGGUUGCAACGACUCAUCUGGGUUGUUGUAUGUCUGGUUUGACUUUUCACAAACUUUAUUAAUUGAAGCAUGAUUGUAUUAGUCUUCUUUGAAGAUAAAAAAUUAUACAACUUUCAACAACGGAUCUCUUGGCUCUCGCAUCGAUGAAGAACGCAGC